RNAcentral lists this non-coding RNA (123 nucleotides) under Bos taurus (domestic cattle). RNAcentral's name for it is "Eukaryotic large subunit ribosomal RNA". It matches the Rfam family "Eukaryotic large subunit ribosomal RNA", at positions 2193 to 2324 of the family's 3401-position model. RNAcentral also lists the same sequence under 4 other names. Lineage: Eukaryota; Metazoa; Chordata; Mammalia; Artiodactyla; Bovidae. The record is from Rfam by way of RNAcentral.
GAGUUUGACUGGGGCAGUAAUGUCAAAGUGAAGAAAUUCAUGAAGUGGUAAACGGUGGGAGUAACUAUGAAUCUCUUAAGGUAUCCAAAUGCCUCAUCAUCUUAAUGACGUGCAUGAAUGAAU